Caretta caretta (loggerhead turtle) is the source of this 690-nucleotide non-coding RNA. Lineage: Eukaryota; Metazoa; Chordata; Testudines; Cheloniidae. The record is from RefSeq and is a predicted model, not a curated record.
GGCGGGGCACACCCUGACUGUUUUGUAGAAGCAAUGCACACAUUGCUCUAUCCAAGGACAAGGGCUAGAUAUGAACCAUGAGAACUUGAUUGUUUGGACAGUAACUGUGGGAGGCUUUCUUAGCCUGGGCUCAAGGCCUGAGAACCAGGAUUGUAGUAGAUAAAGGAUGGUAACUAAGUAUAUUAAUCAACGUCAUACAUUCCUUUGUGUAGCAGUGUGUAAUGCUUAGGGGGAGAAAUAUAAUAAAAGGGGAAGGUGGAAGGCGGGGGGGCAGAACAGCCCAUCUCCGCUGACCAGCCUGCUUGCUUGCAUAAAGCUGUGUUCUGUCUCAUGAUUGAACCGUAACAACUGGCGCCCAAACGUGGGGCCCUCAGCACUCACCUCGCCCGGCAAGGGUUUCAGACGCGUCACUCAUCCGCUUCGUGGAUCCCGGGCUGGUGGACACUGGAGCUGACGUUACGGUGAUUCGUGAUCUGGAGUGGCUGGACCGUUGUGGGUUCCAGCUCGGUGUGUGCGACCGGCACUUAAACAACAUGGCAUGGCACCAGGGGCUGUCGAAUCCCAUACCAGAGUUUCAGCUGACCUUGGAGGAGACCGCGUUGCCCCCCGAGUCGACAACGAUGGGACGGAAACGGAGGAGGCGUAGCGUCCCAAGCCAGCCCGUGACAUGGGGAGCAGUAAAAGCAUUGG